Molecule: unclassified non-coding RNA, 825 nt
Filed under: Melitaea cinxia (Glanville fritillary)
Lineage: Eukaryota; Metazoa; Arthropoda; Insecta; Lepidoptera; Nymphalidae
Description: misc RNA ENSMCXG00005008441.1
Source: RNAcentral
UUUUUUUUUUUUUUUUUUUUUUUUUUAUUUAUUGUGAAAAUAACUUUUUUAUUUGUACAUUACAGGCUUUCACUGUCUUUUCGACUGUGAACAAGUAACACACAACGACAUGACUAACAAAUCAAUACUAAAGUUAUUAUUAAAAACAAUAUAAUACAAGCCUCGUAAUAAAAAAAAUUGGAAUAUAAUUUAGUAUAUAGAAAUAUGUAUCAAUCAAAGAAAGAGAAUAAAGAAAGAGUUUUUAUAGCUGUAAAGCUUGUAAUUAAACGAGGCUAAUCAAUUAUAUACAAUUACCUAAAAUUAAACUAUAAUAAAUAUUAUAGCUAUCACAGACGUAAAAAGAAAUUGACACUAUUAUUUUAUGCGUAUCUAUCACGUACUCUCGCGAACAUUUCCGCGCUGUUCACUUUGUUGGGACCCUCGUUCUUGCCGAAGAAGGUCAUCUUUGUAGUUUUCACCAUUCCUUUUCCAUCAUCACCGGUCCUCCUCCAAUACACUGUUUGGACAGCGUGUCUGCCAGCGAUGUAUCUGGUUGCACUUCCGAUGAGUUGUCUCUUAUCCAUCUUUUCUUCUUAUCCUCUUUUUUCAAAAGUUUGAAGACUAUUCAAAUUUUCGAAUAGAAAUCGAAUGUCCCAAAAGAACGAAGCGCGUACAAAAAAGCUUCAACAAAAUUGAUUAUUCGAUAUAGCCGUGAGAGAGCCUUUUUCGACUGUUCCUGAGCCUACUCAGCUAAUGUAUGAUAAAAUACAAAUCACCGCUCUAUAUAUACGAGGAGGACACGCGGCGCUUUGACGUAUAUUUUAUCAACGUGUAAGCAAUGCAAAU